CUGGCGGCGUGGAUAAGACAUGCAAGUCGAACGCUACUUAUUUUGUUAGCAUUAACGAAGUAAGUGGAGUGGCGAAAGGGUGCGUAACACGUGGGAAUUUACCAAGAAGUGGGGAAUAGCUCAGCGAAAGCUGAAUUAAUACCGCAUACGAUCGAAAGAUCAAAGCCGGGGACCGCAAGGCCUGGCGCUUUUUGAGAAGCCCGCGGCCCAUCAGCUAGUUGGCGAGGUAAGAGCUCACCAAGGCUAUGACGGGUAGCUGGUCUGAGAGGACGACCAGCCACACUGGAACUGAGACACGGUCAGACACCUACGGGUGGCAGCAGUCGAGAAUUUUUCACAAUGGACGAAAGUCUGAUGGAGCGACGCCGCGUGGAGGAUGAAGGUUUUCGGAUUGUAAACUCCUGUCACUGCAGAACAAGGCUGUGCGUAUGAAUAGUACGUGCAGUUGAUGGUAUGCGGAGAGGAAGGGACGGCUAACUCUGUGCCAGCAGCCGCGGUAAGACAGAGGUCCCGAGCGUUGUUCGGAUUCAUUGGGCGUAAAGGGUGUGUAGGAGGCCAGGUAAGUCAGGUGUGAAAUCUCAGAGCUUAACUCUGAAACUGCGCUUGAUACUGCUUGGCUAGAGGAUCGGAGGGGGUAACGGAAUUUAUGGUGUAGCAGUGAAAUGCGUAGAUAUCAUAAGGAACACCGGUGGCGAAGGCGGUUACCUGGAAGAUUCCUGACUCUGAAACACGAAAGCC
This 738-nucleotide ribosomal RNA is filed under the name uncultured soil bacterium. RNAcentral's name for it is "bacterial SSU rRNA". It matches the Rfam family "Bacterial small subunit ribosomal RNA", at positions 36 to 761 of the family's 1533-position model. The record is from RNAcentral.